RNAcentral lists this non-coding RNA (1368 nucleotides) under Drosophila virilis. Its description in RNAcentral is "Eukaryotic large subunit ribosomal RNA". It matches the Rfam family "Eukaryotic large subunit ribosomal RNA", at positions 1 to 1174 of the family's 3401-position model. Lineage: Eukaryota; Metazoa; Arthropoda; Insecta; Diptera; Drosophilidae. The record is from Rfam by way of RNAcentral.
CAACCUCAACUCAUAUGGGACUACCCCCUGAAUUUAAGCAUAUUAAUUAGGGGAGGAAAAGAAACUAACAAGGAUUUUCUUAGUAGCGGCGAGCGAAAAGAAAUCAGUUCAGCACUAAGUCACUUUGUCUAUAUGGCAAAUGUGAGAUGCAGUGUACGGAACAUCAACAUUCUAGUAUGAGAAGUUAACGAUUUAAGUCCUUCUUAAAUGAGGCCAUUUACCCAUAGAGGGUGCCAGGCCCGUAUAACGUUAAUGAUUACUAGAUGGUGUUUCCAAAGAGUCGUGUUGCUUGAUAGUGCAGCACUAAGUGGGUGGUAAACUCCAUCUAAAACUAAAUAUAACCAUGAGACCGAUAGUAAACAAGUACCGUGAGGGAAAGUUGAAAAGAACUCUGAAUAGAGAGUUAAAUAGUACGUGAAACUGCUUAGAGGUUAAGCCCGAUGAACCUGAAUAUCCGUUAUGGAAAAUUCAUCAUUAGAAUUGUAAUAUUUUAAACAAUAUUAUAAUAAUAGUGUGCAUUUUUUCCAUAUAAGGACAUUGUAAUCUAUUAGCAUAAAUAUUUAUCAUAAAAUUAUGUCUGAUUGCUUAUUUGAAUUAUAUGCUUGGCAUUUUAACAUAAAAUAAAAGAUAUAAAUUUGAUAAAGUGCUGAUAGAUUUAUAUGAUUACAGUGCGUUAAUUUUUCGGAAUUAUAUAAUGGCAUAAUUAUCAUUGAUAUUUGUGUUUAUUAUAUGCAUUUGUAUGAUUAACAAUGCGAAAGAUUCAGGAUACUUCGGGACCCGUCUUGAAACACGGACCUAAGGAGUCUAACAUAUGUGCAAGUUAUUGGGAUAUAAACCUAAUAGCGUAAUUAACUUGACUAUUAAUGGGAUUAGUUUUUUAAAUAUUUAUAGUUAAUUAACGCAAUCCCGGGGCGCUCUAUAUAGUUAUGUAUAAUAAUAUUUAUAUUAUUUAUGCCUCUAAUUGGAACGUACCUUGAGCAUAUAUGCUGUGACCCGAAAGAUGUUGAACUCUACUUGAUCUGGUUGAAGUCAGGCGAAACCUUGACGGAAGACCGAAACAGUUCUAACGUGCCAAUCGCUUGUCAGACAUUGAGUAUAGGGGCGAAAGACCAAUCGAUCCAUUUAGUAGAUGGUUCCUUCAAAAGUUUCCAUCAGGAUAGAUGGAUGCACUCACACGUUGUAUAAAAUAAUCUUAUCUAGUAAAGAGAAUGAUUAGAGGCUUUAGGGUGUAAACGAUCUUAACAUCUUAUCAUACUUUAAAAGGGUAUGAACCUCAACUAUCUUGAUAUGAAGUUUAAGAUUAUGAUAUAACGUGCCCACUGGCCCCCUAUUUGUCAGCCGAACGGUCGUUGUGGGAGGAUCCAAAGG